This 253-nucleotide ribosomal RNA is filed under the name uncultured bacterium. RNAcentral's name for it is "partial 16S ribosomal RNA". It matches the Rfam family "Bacterial small subunit ribosomal RNA", at positions 524 to 776 of the family's 1533-position model. The record is from RNAcentral.
UACGAAGGGUGCAAGCGUUACUCGGAAUUACUGGGCGUAAAGCGUGCGUAGGUGGUUCGUUAAGUCUGAUGUGAAAGCCCUGGGCUCAACCUGGGAAUGGCAUUGGAAACUGGCGACCUAGAGUGCGGUAGAGGGUAGUGGAAUUCCCGGUGUAGCAGUGAAAUGCGUAGAGAUCGGGAGGAACAUCCGUGGCGAAGGCGACUACCUGGACCAGCACUGACACUGAGGCACGAAAGCUAGGGGAGCAAACGGG